RNAcentral lists this ribosomal RNA (497 nucleotides) under uncultured bacterium. RNAcentral describes it as "partial 16S ribosomal RNA". It matches the Rfam family "Bacterial small subunit ribosomal RNA", at positions 28 to 507 of the family's 1533-position model. The record is from RNAcentral.
GAUGAACGCUGGCGGCGUGCCUAAUACAUGCAAGUCGAGCGAACAGACGAGGAGCUUGCUCCUCUGACGUUAGCGGCGGACGGGUGAGUAACACGUGGAUAACCUACCUAUAAGACUGGGAUAACUUCGGGAAACCGGAGCUAAUACCGGAUAAUAUAUUGAACCGCAUGGUUCAUUAUUGAAAGACGGUUUUGCUGUCACUUAUAGAUGGAUCCGCGCCGCAUUAGCUAGUUGGUAAGGUAACGGCUUACCAAGGCAACGAUGCGUAGCCGACCUGAGAGGGUGAUCGGCCACACUGGAACUGAGACACGGUCCAGACUCCUACGGGAGGCAGCAGUAGGGAAUCUUCCGCAAUGGGCGAAAGCCUGACGGAGCAACGCCGCGUGAGUGAUGAAGGUCUUCGGAUCGUAAAACUCUGUUAUUAGGGAAGAACAAAUGUGUAAGUAACUAUGCACGUCUUGACGGUACCUAAUCAGAAAGCCACGGCUAACUACGUG